GUGUCAGCCGCCGCGGUAAUACGUAGGCAGCAAACGUUGUUCGGAAUUACUGGGCGUAAAGAGUGUGUAGGCGGUUAGGUAAGUUUGGUGUGAAAUCUCCCGGCUUAACUGGGAGGGUGCGCCGAAAACUGCCUGGCUUGAGUACUGGAGAGGAUAGCGGAAUUCCUGGUGUAGCGGUGAAAUGCGUAGAUAUCAGGAGGAACACCUGCGGUGUAGACGGCUAUCUGGACAGUAACUGACGCUGAGACACGAAAGCGUGGGGAGCAAACAGGAUUAGAUACCCCAGUAGUCC
Molecule: ribosomal RNA, 292 nt
Filed under: uncultured bacterium
Lineage: Bacteria
Description: partial 16S ribosomal RNA
Rfam family: Bacterial small subunit ribosomal RNA
Source: RNAcentral